UACGUAGGGUGCAAGCGUUAAUCGGAAUUACUGGGCGUAAAGCGUGCGCAGGCGGCUAUGCAAGACAGAUGUGAAAUCCCCGGGCUCAACCUGGGAACUGCAUUUGUGACUGCAUGGCUAGAGUACGGUAGAGGGGGAUGGAAUUCCGCGUGUAGCAGUGAAAUGCGUAGAUAUGCGGAGGAACACCGAUGGCGAAGGCAAUCCCCUGGACCUGUACUGACGCUCAUGCACGAAAGCGUGGGGAGCAAACAGA
This 253-nucleotide ribosomal RNA is filed under the name uncultured bacterium. Its description in RNAcentral is "partial 16S ribosomal RNA". It matches the Rfam family "Bacterial small subunit ribosomal RNA", at positions 524 to 776 of the family's 1533-position model. The record is from RNAcentral.